GACGAACGCUGGCGGCGUGCCUAAUACAUGCAAGUAGAACGCUGAAGGAGGAGCUUGCUUCUCUGGAUGAGUUGCGAACGGGUGAGUAACGCGUAGGUAACCUGCCUGGUAGCGGGGGAUAACUAUUGGAAACGAUAGCUAAUACCGCAUAAGAGAAGAUGUUGCAUGACAUUUGCUUAAAAGGUGCAAUUGCAUCACUACCAGAUGGACCUGCGUUGUAUUAGCUAGUUGGUGGGGUAACGGCUCACCAAGGCGACGAUACAUAGCCGACCUGAGAGGGGGAUCGGCCACACUGGGACUGAGACACGGCCCAGACUCCUACGGGAGGCAGCAGUAGGGAAUCUUCGGCAAUGGACGGAAGUCUGACCGAGCAACGCCGCGUGAGUGAAGAAGGUUUUCGGAUCGUAAAGCUCUGUUGUAAGAGAAGAACGAGUGUGAGAGUGGAAAGUUCACACUGUGACGGUAUCUUACCAGAAAGGGACGGCUAACUACGUG
RNAcentral lists this ribosomal RNA (495 nucleotides) under uncultured bacterium. Its description in RNAcentral is "partial 16S ribosomal RNA". It matches the Rfam family "Bacterial small subunit ribosomal RNA", at positions 28 to 507 of the family's 1533-position model. The record is from RNAcentral.